GCCUUGGUGGUACAAUGGCUAAACUCUUGGCUGCUAAACAAAAGUUUGAUGGUUCAAACCCACCCAGAGGCU
Molecule: transfer RNA, 72 nt
Filed under: Loxodonta africana (African savanna elephant)
Lineage: Eukaryota; Metazoa; Chordata; Mammalia; Proboscidea; Elephantidae
Rfam family: tRNA
About the family: Transfer RNA (tRNA) molecules are approximately 80 nucleotides in length. Their secondary structure includes four short double-helical elements and three loops (D, anti-codon, and T loops).
Source: Rfam by way of RNAcentral